GACGGAGGAUGCAAGCGUUAUCCGGAAUGAUUGGGCGUAAAGCGUCCGCAGGUGGCAGUUCAAGUCUGCUGUCAAAGACCGGGGCUUAACUUCGGAAAGGCAGUGGAAACUGAACAGCUAGAGUAUGGUAGGGGCAGAGGGAAUUCCUGGUGUAGCGGUGAAAUGCGUAGAUAUUGGGAGGAACACCAGUGGCGAAGGCGGCUCACUGGACCGGUACUGACGCUGAGGCGCGAAAGCGUGGGUAGCAAACAGG
Molecule: ribosomal RNA, 253 nt
Filed under: uncultured bacterium
Lineage: Bacteria
Description: partial 16S ribosomal RNA
Rfam family: Bacterial small subunit ribosomal RNA
Source: RNAcentral